Molecule: long non-coding RNA, 4326 nt
Filed under: Sarcophilus harrisii (Tasmanian devil)
Lineage: Eukaryota; Metazoa; Chordata; Mammalia; Dasyuromorphia; Dasyuridae
Description: lncRNA (ENSSHAG00000029906.1)
Source: RNAcentral
UGCAAUCAACUACUCUGUACUAGGCCAUAAAAGUACAAAGAUACAGUCAACAUUAAAAGAAAAUUAAGGAGGCAUUAACUGCUUUAAAAAUUAAAGGGGUAAUACAGACACUGAGUUGGGCUGUGAAGAAAGGAAUUUCAACAAUAAAGUUAAGUUGGAAGCAUAGCCAGCAAAAGAUGGGAGAGUGCAAGACAAGAAUAGAAAUGGAAUAAUUCGAUUGGGCUAAGUGGAGACUAUGAAAGGGACUUUGUAUGAGAGAAUAGUGGAAAGAAGGUUGUAGCUCUGUGAAGAGAACAUGGAGUGAAGGGUCAGAAGGGGCUUUGUUCCCUAAGCAACAGGGCAGCAAUAGCUUUCCAUAAAAGUGACACAAAAUGAUUCACUAGUAAGAUUACCCAAGCACUGCUGUGAAGAAUGAGUUGGGGAAUAGGUGCACUGGAAUAAUACUGAAGAGUAAUUUUAACCUACAUUCAAAAGCAUUUUAAAGAACAAAGACUACAAGAGCACUAGCAUCCUGACUUUGUACUCGCUAACUAGAUAACCUUGGACAAGUCAUAUCACUGCAAGACUUCAGUUUUCUCUUCUAAGAAAAUGAGUAGAUGACAACUACAAAUUUGUCAUCACCAUAAUUCAUCAAUGGCUAGGGGGCUGGAUGAUUUAUCUACAGUAGAGUUCUAAACCUGGGGUCAGUGAACUUUUGUUUUAGAAAAUAGUUUGAUGGCAUUUCAAUUUAAUGGUUUCCUUUAUUAAAAUGUAUUUUUAUGCAGUUAAAUACCUAAUGGUGAGGAGGAAUCCAUCAUACCACGAAGGUAUUUUUUUUUUUUGGGGGGGGGGAGGAGGGAAGCCCGUGGGAUUUAAAGAAGACUUAGUGAUGUAAAAUGGACAAGUCUAUCAAAAAGCUUUGAAGAGAUUGCAAUUUAUUAGUUAAGAGGCUAUUAACUCAGGUUUACAUAGUAUGCCUGCAUAGCUACAAUCGUAAGGGUCAGAGCCCUAGAUUCAAAGAUUCCUUAGAAUUCCUAGGACUUACAUAGCUGGUGGAGACCUUAAAGAUCACUUAGUACAGAAAUUCUUAGUCUUUUUUGCAUCGUGGACCCCUUUGACAAUCUAUGGACCUGUUCUCAGAAUAUUUUUAAAUCCAUGAAAUAAAAUACAUGGGGUUAACAAAGGAAACCGUGAUGUUGAAAUAUAGCUAUUAAAAUAUUAAAUAAGAUAGUUGAGGAAACUGAAGCCCAAAAAGUGAAGUAAUAAAUGACCAAAUUCACGGGGAGCCAGAGUGCCCUUCAAACCAAGUUCUUUCAAAUCUUUGACUCAAAUUCCUGAAUUAUCCUGUUUUCCUGAUUCCCAAGUCUUCAAGGUAUUGUAUAUGCAUGGAAUUUUCUUGUGCAGUCAUCCUAGGGAAAAGCCAAUCUACCUUAAACCUACUGUAAUCUAAAUCCCACCCCAUAGACUAAAAGAGGAAUCUCAUUAUGAAUUACCUGAUUCAACCAAUGAAGAUUACAGGCAUGACUCCCCUGGCCUUCAACAGAAAUUUUAUGCUAUGCUUAAGAUCAGUUCCUCCAACAAGAAGUAUGAGGAAGACUAAAACAUACUUGCCAAAGUGAUAUUCUUUGGUUAGGUCUAAUUAAAUUAUUUCCUUGAUGAAAAAAUACUAUCACCUCAAGAAUGAAAACAAAUUUCUCUCUGGCAUUUACAGUCUUUCACGACAUGGAUCCACCCUGGCUUUCUCAUUGGCUCUCAAAUUACUUUUCAUGAAUACUACAAUCUACCCUAACUGGCCUUCUCCAGGCCUUUGUGCCAGAUUUGCUUGGAAGGUACUCCUUCCUGUCUCUUUAAAAUUCCUGGUUUCCCUCAGGGUACAACUCAAGGGCCAUUUUCUAUGUGAUGUCUUCUCUCUCCCCUCCUUCCCAGAUUCCCGAGGUGUAUCUAGUUCACACCUACUCCCAAAUCCAACCAGGUGGGAGAAUAGUGGUACCUUUGGCAGUAAUAGCAUAAUUUAGACGAGGAAGGUUUGAAGGGAAAGAUAAUGAGUUCUUUGGACAAGUAGAAUUUGAAAUGUCUGUUGAGACAAUAACCAGUAAGAGAUGUCCAAAAGGUCUAGAGUACAGGACAAGGAUAACAUAUAUAGACUUGAGAUUCAUCUGUAUAGAGAUAAAUCUAUGGGAGCUAAUAUGGUCACCAAGUGAGAGAAUAAAACUGGGGGAAAGAAUCGGGAUCUGGAAAGAACCUUAGAGGAACUGCAAAGUUAUUGGGUGGGUGUGAUAGGAAGAUCCAGCAAGGGAAAUUGAAAACAUCAGGAGAUAAAUGUCAUAAAGAUCUAGAAAGAAAGAAAGAUCUCCAAGAGGAGAUGGCUAUCAUCAGUGCCAAAGCUUGCAGAACAGAUUAAAAAUUAUAAGGACUGGGGAAAAACAGACCAUUAGAGUAUAAUUGGUACAAGAAUGGGGGGAAAGGGGGAAUUCGGGAAAGAGCAAGAAGCUGAAUAAUGAAAAAAUAUGAUCAGAUAAAAGAAUUCCAGAUUUCAUGAAAUUCGAAGUAAAAAUAGUGUGUUAGAUCAAGGAUAUAAUCUGUCACUAAACAUCUCAAGGCAUUGAAUUCAAAUUUAGAUGAAUGAACUUUCAGGUCUCUCCACUUUAAAACAUCACUAAUGACUAACCUCUUUGCUUUGCCAUUUGCAAAUUUCUUCAUCCUCAAUUCUGUGAGAGAGAGGACUGGUGUAGCUUGUUUUCUACAUUUCUCAAAUGUGAAUACGAAGACAGGUUCAGAUACUUGUCUAGGAUCACACCACCAGGUAUUGGUCAAACUAGGAUUUGAAUCAAUCUCCAGAUAUACAGUAGUAUAUCUUUUCAUGGGAUAUCACCCAGUCAGCUGAGAACAACCCGAGUUAGCUUCUUCCCCUUGAAUCAAAAGGGCCCACCCUCAUCCUAGGAAAUGUCCUUGUCCCUUACUUAAGAAUCCUUGCCUUCUUUUCAUAGAAAUUGAUGGCUUUCUCAUUCCAGUCAUACCACAUUUUCCAAAUUUUAGCAACAGUGGUACAAAAUCUGUACAUAACUAUUUGAAUGUUUCCUCCAUUAGAGAAUGAGCUUCUUGAAAUCAGGAGCUGCUUUUUUCCCCUUUUGUAUCCCCAUUGCUUGACAUGGUUCCUCUGGCACAUAGUAGGUGCUUAAUAAAUACUUGAUGACUUGACAAAAAUUUGUAUGAUCUCUAUUGGAGUUCCAGUUCUGUUGUUAAUGCACUGGGGGACCAGGGGCAAGUAAUUUUCUCUUGAUCUCAAGUUUUUUCAUCAACAAAGUAUAGGGUAUACAAAAACCACGUUCUAUAGUGGAAGAGCAUAUAUACUUUACAAAGUUAAAUUUGUAUUAACAGGCACAAAGUAAUUUUGAUGACUGGUGGGGUAUCAUAAGCUGGUGGGGAUCAAGACCGACCUCAUAUAUAAUCUAAUGCUUAAAAAGAACUUUGGGAAAAAAAUAGGGAUUUUAAAAGGCAGCACUAAGGAUGGUGAAAUGAUCAAGCCUGAAGGGAAACUGAAACAGUGGACUGCUGUGAAUGAGGAGUAAUUGUAUGCUAGAUUGGAAUGUGUGACAGGGAGUAAUAUAAGGCUAGAAAGAUUUGAGGUCAGAUUUUGUGUACCCUAAAUGCCAGAGGAAUUCAUAUUUGAUCCUGGUGGAUUGGACUACAUGAUCUCCAAGGUCCUUUCUGGCCCCAGGAUCAAUUGAUACUAAACUUUGUUGAGGAAAUUAUAGAAAGAAAGCCCCAUAUAAGGGUGCCUGGUGCUGAGCUUAUGGCAUUUGAACCAAAACCCUCAUCUUUCACCUGUGUUCUUCUAACUUCUCUCACUUAAAAUGUCCAGGAGGACAAGGUUCACUUCAGGGUUCUACCUACUUUUUUCAUGUCCCCUUAUGAGACAGAACCAUUGCUGUUUUCCUCCUCCCCUUCCCUGAUGGUCCUGCACUGUGAACUUCCUUGGUUUCUCUUGCUGAGUACAAAGUCUAAGAACUUAGAGUGCUUUAUACAAGUUUAGUUUUAUUUUGUUUUUCUAUUGUUUUGCCUGUGGAAAACAAGAAAUAAAGUAUGUGUGUGGAGAUUUAAGUCUUGGCACUUACCUUUCAAUAUUUCAGGUUUCUUAUCUGUGAAAGGACUGAACUGGAUCAGCUUCUUAUGUUUUAUCUUAGCCUAAGGAAAAUGAUGGCUUCUUAGGCUGAAGCUCUGUAUUAAAAACUAAACAAUAAAUUUCAUUAUUGAUUUUUUUAAAGGAGGGAAGCAAAGCCUGUUUUGUUUUGUUUUGUUUUGUUUUUUUUAAUUUGUGGGGCUGGUGCUACCAAAACUAUAUUCCAG